RNAcentral lists this ribosomal RNA (634 nucleotides) under Microbacterium sp. EP_S_94. Its description in RNAcentral is "bacterial SSU rRNA". It matches the Rfam family "Bacterial small subunit ribosomal RNA", at positions 40 to 689 of the family's 1533-position model. Lineage: Bacteria; Bacillati; Actinomycetota; Actinomycetes; Micrococcales; Microbacteriaceae. The record is from RNAcentral.
CGGCGUGCUUACCAUGCAAGUCGAACGGUGAAGCCAAGCUUGCUUGGUGGAUCAGUGGCGAACGGGUGAGUAACACGUGAGCAACCUGCCCUGGACUCUGGGAUAAGCGCUGGAAACGGCGUCUAAUACCGGAUAUGAGCUGUGACCGCAUGGUCGUAGUUGGAAAGAUUUUUUGGUCUGGGAUGGGCUCGCGGCCUAUCAGCUUGUUGGUGAGGUAAUGGCUCACCAAGGCGUCGACGGGUAGCCGGCCUGAGAGGGUGACCGGCCACACUGGGACUGAGACACGGCCCAGACUCCUACGGGAGGCAGCAGUGGGGAAUAUUGCACAAUGGGCGGAAGCCUGAUGCAGCAACGCCGCGUGAGGGACGACGGCCUUCGGGUUGUAAACCUCUUUUAGCAAGGAAGAAGCGAAAGUGACGGUACUUGCAGAAAAAGCGCCGGCUAACUACGUGCCAGCAGCCGCGGUAAUACGUAGGGCGCAAGCGUUAUCCGGAAUUAUUGGGCGUAAAGAGCUCGUAGGCGGUUUGUCGCGUCUGCUGUGAAAUCUGGGGGCUCAACCCCCAGCCUGCAGUGGGUACGGGCAGACUAGAGUGCGGUAGGGGAGAUUGGAAUUCCUGGUGUAGCGGUGGAAUGC